Molecule: non-coding RNA, 104 nt
Organism: Citrus sinensis (sweet orange)
Lineage: Eukaryota; Viridiplantae; Streptophyta; Magnoliopsida; Sapindales; Rutaceae
Source: Rfam
UAUCUAUGAUGUGGACACUUCAAAAGUAGUCCAUUGAAACACUCCUAUGUUUCGAAAAACUGCUCGUCUUCUCUCUGGGUAAACUCUGAAAUUUCCCUACGAAU